ACUCCUACGGGAGGCAGCAGUGGGGAAUAUUGCACAAUGGGCGCAAGCCUGAUGCAGCCAUGCCGCGUGUAUGAAGAAGGCCUUCGGGUUGUAAAGUACUUUCAGCAGUGAGGAAGGAGGUGUCGUUAAUAGCGGCAUUUCUUGACGUUAGCUGCAGAAGAAGCACCGGCUAACUCCGUGCCAGCAGCCGCGGUAAUACGGAGGGUGCGAGCGUUAAUCGGAAUUACUGGGCGUAAAGCGCAUGCAGGUGGUUUGUUAAGUCAGAUGUGAAAGCCCGGGGCUCAACCUCGGAACUGCAUUUGAAACUGGCAAACUAGAGUACUGUAGAGGGGGUAGAAUUUCAGGUGUAGCGGUGAAAUGCGUAGAGAUCUGAAGGAAUACCAGUGGCGAAGGCGGCCCCCUGGACAGAUACUGACACUCAGAUGCGAAAGCGUGGGGAGCAAACAGGAUUAGAUACCCUGGUAGGACAGUG
RNAcentral lists this ribosomal RNA (472 nucleotides) under uncultured bacterium. RNAcentral's name for it is "bacterial SSU rRNA". It matches the Rfam family "Bacterial small subunit ribosomal RNA", at positions 335 to 799 of the family's 1533-position model. The record is from RNAcentral.